GGAUGGACCAAAGCAGUUACACCCAAAGAAAGAACACUGGGAAAUGAAUGUAAACUGUUUGCAGUUUUGUUUUUCUUCCUAGGUUAUUUUUUACCAUCUGAAUCCAAUUCUUGCUGUGCAACAAGAGAAUUCUGUUCUCACACAUAUAUUGUAUCUAGGCUAUACGGUGACAUAUUCAACAUGUAUAGGACUGCUUGCCAUCUAGGGGAGGGGAAAAGUCGGAACAGAAGUGAGUGCAAGGGAUAAUGUUGUAAAAAAAUUACCCAGGCAUGGGUUCUGUCAAUAAAAAAGUUAUAAUGAAAAAAAAAAAAAAAACAGAAUAGGCUAAAUGGCAAAAGAGAGACAAAAAUUCAAGGAAGAUAAUAACUCCUUGAAAAGUAGAAUUGGCCAAAUGAAAAAAGAAAUACAAAAGCUCACUAAAGAAAAUAAUUUCUUAAAAAUUGGUUUUGGCCAAAUGGAAACUAAUGACCCCAUUAGACAUUAAGAAUCAAACAAAAUAAAAAAGAAUGGAAAAAUAGAAGAAAAUGUGAAAUAUCUCUUUGGAAAAGUAACUGACCUGGAAAAUAGAUUCAGGAGAGAUAAUUUAAGAAUUAUUAGAUUACUUGAAAGCUAUAAUUAAAAAAAAAAAAAAAAAAGAGCCCAGAUAUCAUCUUUCAAGAAAUUUUCAAGGAAAACUGUUCUAAUAUACUAGAACCAGAGGGUAAAAUAGACAUUCAAAAAAUCUAUCAAUCACCUCCUAAAAGAGACCCUAAAGUGAAAACUCCCAAAAAUAUUAUAGCUAAAUUUCAGAACUUCCAGGUCAAGGAUGGCAAGCAGCCAAAAAACAACAACCCAAAAAAAACCCAAAAA
Long non-coding RNA from Antechinus flavipes (yellow-footed antechinus), 849 nucleotides. RefSeq lists it as uncharacterized. The transcript has 2 exons. NCBI's taxonomy places the organism in Eukaryota, Metazoa, Chordata, Mammalia, Dasyuromorphia, Dasyuridae. The record is from RefSeq and is a predicted model, not a curated record.